UGUACUAUAGCUCAAUUUGUUAGAGCAUGUGCUGAUAAUGCCAAGGCUGCAGGUUCAAUCCCAGUCUGGGACAA
This is a non-coding RNA of Podarcis lilfordi (Lilford's wall lizard), 74 nucleotides long. Lineage: Eukaryota; Metazoa; Chordata; Lepidosauria; Squamata; Lacertidae. The record is from the annotation of a GenBank genome assembly.